GAAAAUAAAGGGUUGUCUGCUGGCCUCUCGGGGCGCGUGCACGCCCAAAUCCACAACACACCUGUGAACCCACCGUAGGCCCUCGGGCUUAUGUAUUAUCAUAUACUCUGAUCAUAGAAUGUAAAAAUUUUGCCUUAAAAACGCAAUGAAAUACAACUUUCAACAACGGAUCUCUUGGCUCU
RNAcentral lists this unclassified non-coding RNA (182 nucleotides) under rhizosphere metagenome. Its description in RNAcentral is "partial ribosomal RNA internal transcribed spacer region". The record is from RNAcentral.